GGCAGGCAUUGUUUGGGCGCCAGAGUGUGGCAAGCACCCAGGAGACCGGGCUGGCACAAUGGCCUUGGAGUGUCUUUGGCCAUGGACGUGUCGCUGAGUGCUUUCCCACGCUCUGGCCUCUCAGCAGUCCUGGGAAGGAGCUCGGAGAGCACUUACUCCACGCCAGGCCCAAGGACACAAGCAGAGAUGUCACAGGAGGGGGAGGUCCAGAUGGCAGCACCCCCCGCCCAAAUAUGAAAUCACCAUGUAGCUCAAAGCGUUGUGGAGGAUUUGAUCCGUAAAGCAUGACAAAGGGCGGCCAAUCCUGCUGUUACCAGCACAGAGUCAUUGCUAAAAGGAGGAAUUUUAUCUGAAAAACUCAUAGUAAUUUUGCAUUCUCCUCUAUAAUCUAUCUGUGCUCCUUUUCACGAAAAACAAAA
Long non-coding RNA from Canis lupus familiaris (dog), 419 nucleotides. RefSeq lists it as uncharacterized. NCBI's taxonomy places the organism in Eukaryota, Metazoa, Chordata, Mammalia, Carnivora, Canidae. The transcript has 3 exons. The record is from RefSeq and is a predicted model, not a curated record.